GACUGAAAGAUCAUUUGCUGUCUACAUGUGUUUUUAAUCUCCAGAGAUUCCAUCACUCCCAACCGGCUGAAACAAGUUGAGAAAACCAUGCACACUAGUGAGAGUGGAUGUCCCAAGCACAAAGAGAACAUGGAAAGUAUGUUGAAUCCAGAUGAUCCAACCCUCUGUUCUCCAGUCCUGCUGGCACACCUAGAGGCCAAUUCAGGGUUUGCACUUUCUUAAUGGUAAAAGC
RNAcentral lists this long non-coding RNA (232 nucleotides) under Sus scrofa (pig). RNAcentral describes it as "lncRNA (ENSSSCG00050067216.1)". The record is from RNAcentral. Lineage: Eukaryota; Metazoa; Chordata; Mammalia; Artiodactyla; Suidae.